Molecule: transfer RNA, 85 nt
Filed under: Gemmatimonadota bacterium
Lineage: Bacteria; Pseudomonadati; Gemmatimonadota
Also listed under: 1 other name
Description: Gemmatimonadetes bacterium tRNA-Leu
Rfam family: tRNA
About the family: Transfer RNA (tRNA) molecules are approximately 80 nucleotides in length.
Source: RNAcentral
GCCGAGGUGGUGGAAUUGGUAGACACGAGGGACUUAAAAUCCCUUGGGCUAAUCGCCCGUACGGGUUCGAGUCCCGUCCUCGGCA